Molecule: ribosomal RNA, 497 nt
Filed under: uncultured bacterium
Lineage: Bacteria
Description: partial 16S ribosomal RNA
Rfam family: Bacterial small subunit ribosomal RNA
Source: RNAcentral
GAUGAACGCUGGCGGCGUGCCUAAUACAUGCAAGUCGAGCGAACAGACGAGGAGCUUGCUCCUUUGAUGUUAGCGGCGGACGGGUGAGUAACACGUAGGUAACCUACCUAUAAGACUGGGAUAACUUCGGGAAACCGGAGCUAAUACCGGAUAAUAUUUUGAACCGCAUGGUUCGAAAGUGAAAGAUGGCUUUGCUAUCACUUAUAGAUGGACCCGCGCCGUAUUAGCUAGUUGGUAAGGUAACGGCUUACCAAGGCAACGAUGCAUAGCCGACCUGAGAGGGUGAUCGGCCACACUGGAACUGAGACACGGUCCAGACUCCUACGGGAGGCAGCAGUAGGGAAUCUUCCGCAAUGGGCGAAAGCCUGACGGAGCAACGCCGCGUGAGUGAUGAAGGUCUUCGGAUCGUAAAACUCUGUUAUUAGGGAAGAACAUACGUGUAAGUAACUGUGCACGUCUUGACGGUACCUAAUCAGAAAGCCACGGCUAACUACGUG